RNAcentral lists this ribosomal RNA (643 nucleotides) under Rhizobium sp. 22(2010). RNAcentral's name for it is "bacterial SSU rRNA". It matches the Rfam family "Bacterial small subunit ribosomal RNA", at positions 123 to 799 of the family's 1533-position model. Lineage: Bacteria; Pseudomonadati; Pseudomonadota; Alphaproteobacteria; Hyphomicrobiales; Rhizobiaceae. The record is from RNAcentral.
AACAUACCCUUUCCUGCGGAAUAGCUCUGGGAAACUGGAAUUAAUACCGCAUACGCCCUACGGGGGAAAGAUUUAUCGGGGAAGGAUUGGCCCGCGUUGGAUUAGCUAGUUGGUGGGGUAAAGGCCUACCAAGGCGACGAUCCAUAGCUGGUCUGAGAGGAUGAUCAGCCACAUUGGGACUGAGACACGGCCCAAACUCCUACGGGAGGCAGCAGUGGGGAAUAUUGGACAAUGGGCGCAAGCUUGAUCCAGCCAUGCCGCGUGAGUGAUGAAGGCCUUAGGGUUGUAAAGCUCUUUCACCGGAGAAGAUAAUGACGGUAUCCGGAGAAGAAGCCCCGGCUAACUUCGUGCCAGCAGCCGCGGUAAUACGAAGGGGGCUAGCGUUGUUCGGAAUUACUGGGCGUAAAGCCGCACGUAGGCGGAUAUUUAAGUCAGGGGUGAAAUCCCAGAGCUCAACUCUGGAACUGCCUUUGAUACUGGGUAUCUUGAGUAUGGAAGAGGUAAGUGGAAUUCCGAGUGUAGAGGUGAUAUUCGUAGAUAUUCGGAGGAACACCAGUGGCGAAGGCGGCUUACUGGCCCAUUACUGACGCUGAGGUGCGAAAGCGGGGGGAGCAAACAGGAUUAGAUACCCUGGUAGUCCACG